RNAcentral lists this ribosomal RNA (820 nucleotides) under uncultured bacterium. RNAcentral's name for it is "bacterial SSU rRNA". It matches the Rfam family "Bacterial small subunit ribosomal RNA", at positions 43 to 876 of the family's 1533-position model. The record is from RNAcentral.
CGCGGGAUAGCAUGCGAGUCGUGCGAGAAUCGUAGCAAUACGAGGACAGCGGCGAAAGGGAGAGGAACACGUGGAUACGUACCCUUGGGUUCAGGAUAGCCAUGGGAAACUAUGGGUAAUACUGAAUAAUAUCUCCGGAUCAAAGGUGAGAUUCCGCCCAAGGAGCGGUCCGCGUCCUAUUAGCUAGUUGGUGAGGUAACGGCUCACCAAGGCGAAGAUGGGUACGAGAUGUGAGAGCAUAAUCUCGCUCAUUGGGACUGAGACACUGCCCAGACACCUACGGGUGGCUGCAGUCGAGAAUCUUCGGCAAUGGGGGAAACCCUGACCGAGCGACGCCGCGUGCGAGAUGAAGGCCUUCGGGUUGUAAAUCGCUGUCGUAGGGGAGGAAAUGCUGGUGGGUUCUCCCAUCAGUUUGACCUAUCCUAGGAGGAAGGACGGGCUAAGUUCGUGCCAGCAGCCGCGGUAAGACGGACCGUCCAAACGUUAUUCGGAAUCACUGGGCUUAAAGGGUGCGUAGGCGGUUCGGUAAGUCGGGUGUGAAAUACCUCAGCUCAACUGAGGAACUGCGCCCGAAACUGUCGGACUCGAGGGAGACAUAGGUGAGCGGAACUUAGGGUGGAGCGGUGAAAUGCGUUGAGAUCCUAGGGAACACCAGUAGCGAAAGCGGCUCACUGGGUCUCUUCUGACGCUGAUGCACGAAAGCUAGGGGAGCGAAGAGGAUUAGAUACCCUCGUAGUCCUAGCCGUAAACGAUGAGCACUGGUUUGGAGGCUCCUCCAUAGGCUUCCAGACGUAGCGAAAGUGUUAAGUGCUCCGCCUGG